This 440-nucleotide ribosomal RNA is filed under the name uncultured bacterium. RNAcentral describes it as "partial 16S ribosomal RNA". It matches the Rfam family "Bacterial small subunit ribosomal RNA", at positions 338 to 795 of the family's 1533-position model. The record is from RNAcentral.
CCUACGGGAGGCAGCAGUGGGGAAUAUUGCACAAUGGGGGAAACCCUGAUGCAGCGACGCCGCGUGAGUGAAGAAGUAAUUCGUUACGUAAAGCUCUAUCAGCAGGGAAGAAAAUGACGGUACCUGAGUAAGUAGCCCCGGCUAACUACGUGCCAGCAGCCGCGGUAAUACGUAGGGGGCAAGCGUUAUCCGGAUUUACUGGGUGUAAAGGGAGCGUAGACGGUGCGCCAAGUCUGGAGUGAAAUGCCGCAGCUUAACUGGGGACCUGCUUUGGAAACUGGCGAACUAGAGUGCGGGGAGGGUAAGCGGAAUUCCUAGUGUAGCGGUGAAAUGCGUAGAUAUUAGGAAGAACACCGGUGGCGAAGGCGGCUUGCUGGACCGUAACUGACGCUGAGGCUCGAAAGCGUGGGGAGCGAACAGGAUUAGAUACCCGAGUAGUC